This is an RNA transcript of Ceratina calcarata, 4755 nucleotides long. It is a transcript of the gene named putative inactive tRNA-specific adenosine deaminase-like protein 3, with no coding region annotated. The record is from RefSeq and is a predicted model, not a curated record. NCBI's taxonomy places the organism in Eukaryota, Metazoa, Arthropoda, Insecta, Hymenoptera, Apidae. The transcript is spliced from 3 exons.
GCCAACUUGCACUGACUACCGGCAGAGGACGCGCCGAUAGUGCCGAUAACUCGUAAUCGCGAAGCAGGUAUAAGUCGACCUCCUGUAAACGUCCAUCUCCGCGGAUAUAUUCACGUGCGUUUCCCUAGUAUUCUUGUGUCGUGCUUCGUGUGUAAAGUAUCGAAAGGUGUGCAAGGUGUGGCUGAUGACCGAUCCAUCUGUUCAUCAUUAAAAGAGAAAGAAUUUGGAGCAGAAAACAGGCGUCGGAUAGUACGCUCUCAUACAGCAGCAGGAAGAUGGCAAUCGCCUCGGCCAAGUGUCCCAAGGAGAGAAAACUGGAAGCCACGGCUCGGUGUUGGACAGCAAGACCGAUUUUAGGCUCAGAUCUCACGGACGAUCCGCCUCUUGAAGACGUCUAUGUGGGUCUACUUAAGCAGAAAAAGGACACCUCGACUGCUAUUAAAAGCAUUUCGUCCAUCUUGCCAGGUUUCCAUCACCUGAAACGCUGCUCAUCUAACAAACUACUCUUGGCGCCUUUAAAUAUGACAAACCUAGUGGAAGAAUCUAGCAAAGAACGUACUUUAACCUCAGACAAUCUGAAGACGAUAUUAAAGGAAAGAGGAUUCAACUUGAGCUUAUUAGAAGAUGACUUUCAAAUAUUGAGCGUACCAGCCAGAGCAGCAAGAACCAAAGUUCAAGCGGCACGGGCUUCAAAGAUCUGGCCCUUGAACUUUCACCCUGAUCCUAACAUUGAAUGUCUGGUCGAUGGAUCGAUUUUCACAGAACACCAAUUGGAUCUUAUAGAGGGAUACAUGAAUGUCGCGAUAGAGACAGCCAGGUUGGAAGCUGUCGGCGACUCGAAUUGUAACGGCAGUGCAUUGAUCGUUGAUCCAGAGGAUGGAAGGAUUCUUGCGGUUGCCGCCUCAAAAAUCGACCAACAUCCAAUGUGGCAUGCAGCUAUGUUAGCUGUAGAUCUUGUUGCUCGACUCCAAGGUGGUGGAGCUUGGAAAUGGGACGAAAAGUCGGGACAAAAUUCGGAUGAUUUACGUGUUUCUACUUCCAAUGAUCAAGAUGAAGCGAAAGAUGAUGUAACCAAAGAAAGAGGAAUCAAAAGGAAAUAUAUUGAAGAGGCUCCGCUUUAUUACCCGAAAUCGCUGUCCAAAAUUACUCUUCCACAGUUAGAAUCUUUGAAAUCCAUCAUACAUCGGCGAGGGCGGAAGAAUAAUGAUUCCACGAAGACAGUAGUUUCAGACAGAUCUGAUCAGACUGAAGCAACGAAUACUGAAAAAUGUGGUCCUUACUUAUGUACGGGAUACUGGACGUUCCUUUUCAAAGAACCUUGUCCUCUUUGCGCUAUGGCGCUACUGCAUUCUAGAGUUUCGAGGAUAUUUUACGGUGUACCUAAUCAGAGUGCAGGCGUUUUGGGCUCAAAGACAGUCUUGCACGCUACGCCGAGAUUGAAUCAUCGGUACCAAGUGUGGGGCGGUAUCCUGGAGCAAGAAUGUCGACAUGUAUUACAGGAAAUCGAGCACAGAAAUAUGGAUUGACUCAUUCUUCGUGUUCGUUGCAAUUAAUUUUCGUCUAAACGAUUCACGGAAUAUUAUGACCAUCGUAGAAAUGGAAGGGAAAAAAUCUUGUCUUGUUACAGAUCGUUUGUACUUUUCACAGAUAAACGUUACCGAAACACAGAGACGUUUGUAUUUCUGUCCAUGCACUUCAACAUGCAUGAUUCCUUUGACCCUUGGUAAUGACACCCACGAAAGAUUUGUCCCUGGCAUUGUCUCGAAGUAAGUUUAGCCGAGUCGCGAUGCUAUAACAUCAAUGUAACAACCGGUUUAUGAUUUCAAUCAAAAGCUGACGACGUAGAAGACGUUACACGUGGUUCGAACGUGCAUUCAUCCAUUACUAGGCAGAUAUAGGUACGACCUUGGUGUCUUAGUAUAAUUUGCAGGAAUAGAGAUCCGUACCCGUGCCGUGUACGCUGCUGCUGGUUCUUCGUUCACGCGAGGAGUUAACACUCGCAUCUAUUAUACAAUGACGCGUUCCCAACCGGCUGAUAGUAAAAAUCAUUUUCCUUAACAAUUUCGCGCCUGUAUCGUUCUAAUUAAACCUAAUUAGAUGUCGCAACAUGCCCUAACAAUAUAAAAAACGCGAAUCUAAUUUGUUCAACUGUUAGUAAUUGUUCAUGUGUCUGUCCCCAAGAGGCGAACAUCGCUUAGAGAUAACUGACAGUUCAUUAAUUAAGGCAGUCGUUUUAAGCCGUUACAUCACUGCUAAAAACUAUACUCGCUGGUCUGAGGAACGGUUUAACCACCCGGACUGUAAAACAAAUUAUUGAGAGGCAAAUUCACUUUAUCGAUUGCACAAAUCAAACAGGAAGGUCUUAGUUUGAAUUGACGACAUUGAAAAUAAUUCCAUUACGCGAGUCGAUCAGUACGUUCUGCAAGUGUCAUAGUUCUAGAACGAAUAGUUGUCCAACGGAUGAAUAACCUAGCUCGCCGGGAGAAUAAAGUCUCAUUCGCUUCACUGUAGCGAGGGACAAGGUCGCGAAGUAAUUCGUCAGUGGUCGUUGAUUUCCGAGGACCGCCAGAAACCAGCAUCGUCGAAAGCUUCCUACGGAGUUCUUUUCCGCGGUCGCGGUCGUGCGCAGUUCGUACGAUGACGACGACGCUUGUAGAGUUCUGCGGAGCUUUCCUGUACAAGACAUGCACGGUUCAAUUUGUGUGGAAGCGAGUAGCGCAUAUAACAAUGACCUCGCGGAUUAACUUCAAUCAGCGAAACUUCAGACGUCUAACCCCGUUGAGCUGGCCAGCUUUGCUGAACGGAUGUACGACGCGGGCAAGACGCAUAGACGAGAACACGAUGGUACUGAGAAUUAGGAAGCACAACGAUUCGUUUGCCAGUCGGCGAGCGGCAGGAUGUGUGUCGCUUCAGCACAGCUUCGGUUCUGCAUCUCCGAUAUUAGUUUAACUCGUCGAUUCUCUGGGACUAAACAACGUUAUGAUCAACCACCUCGAAAUUUAAAGCUUGCUGCCUGAGAACACUCUAGCAGUUCACUUGACAAAAAGAACGAAUAUCGUAAAUCGUCGUUUCUUUCGCAAUCUCGAUACUAUUUCUAUUCAAAUACAUUUUUGUAUAAUUCUGAAGAAGCUCUUAUAACGACCAAGAAUUACUCCACGUUCAUCGUUGAACCAACUGGCACGUGGCUCUAAUAACGUCAUCCGGAAACGCACCGCUUUUCCACAUUUACCACUUGUUCGUUCUGCGAUUGACCUGAGGAAGGGGUUCGAUGAUUUUCAUUGGAAGCUUUGGAACGAAAAUAUAAGCCGAGAAGGCAGAGAUAACCUUUUUGCAAAAUAAUUAAUCCACGUGGCAAACAGGCGUCUUUUACGACGCGACAGCUCGUUAAGUCGAGGUAAACGUCGCCAUCAUCCUCGCAGAUAGCAAAGAUUCGAGCGUGGCCGUAAAAAUAGAGUGUAGACUUACACGAUCCCGUACAAGUUUGAUCACGUUUGGUCAGUUUUUGUUGGGAAAAGACUACGAAUCCGGUAUUAAUCGAAAUUCGAAUUCAGUAGGCGACCAAAUACGGAACGAUUUUACGAGGUAAGCCGAGUCACAUUUUGCUCAUCAGCACUGAGUGGUUCCAAUUGACGGUCGGGUCGACCCUCCAGCGUAGACACUAUUGGUCAGCCUUUUAAUACCGGCGGUCGCGAUUGGAUCAGAUACCCAGAUCGUUCUUAGACACAAGACAUUGCUGGAGCAUUCGGUUCAAAACUUUUGACGUCGUCAGUGUCGCACAAUUUACUGUCCGCCGUUGUUCACAAGGGUCUGACUGAGAUCCAAAAGACAUCCGCCUGUCCGGUUCGUCUCAGUCGGUUUAAGUCGGUCAGCGGUAGAACUGAGCGCGCAACGAUAAUUAACUAGAACAAUACGAGGGAAGCAACUGUAUCAGGAAGCUCAAGUGUUUGGUUCCUUCCGCAGUUGGUUCUGAAUCAAGAUUCACCAUUAUCAACAGAGGAUUCGUCGCAUACUUGACAAUUCGCAAAUAAAGGAAUACUUUCUUCGUUUGUGAAUCGACAAUUUUCCAACGUCAGUGUUCUACGAAGCAAGAGCAAGUCAUUGUUAUCAGAUAUAACUGCGCAUUCCCUAAGUUCAACGCUGGAAACAGAAAUUCUUCAUAAUAUCAAAAAUCGAAAUUAGCUCGUGAAUGGCUCAAAUUUAUUGGCUGUUGCUUUUUGAAAGAUCUUAAUCGUUCUAUUUGCGGCUAAUGCAUAACAAAUAAAAAAGGAUCGCAAGUGGAAGGAAGCAGUAGGCAAAAAUCAAACGGAAGGUUCCUGGUCUUAGCAUCUGGUCAAGAAACAUUAUUUCUGGGUGACCUCUUCGAGAGACUCGUCUUUUCUCACGUGGAGGAGACUUUGGUGAAUAUCGAGGAACAACACAUUUCCCAUUUGGUUUUACUCCACGAAGCCUCGUCUUUUCCUCCUGAAUCAAGUUUAUCUUUCGAACGGCACCAUGGAACGAAGGAUUCUGAAAAUGUGGUGACGACGUGAUAGGCGAAGGCCUUCGAUUACCAAGACACUAUCAAGUGGUGUGAGCCAUAGUCGUUAGAAAGCAACUCAAGACGUAUCUUCCGUGUCCAGUGACACUAGCUGAGACCAACAGUCCCAUUUAACGUAAUAAUAACGAAACGAAUCUUUGUCAGAGAUCUUUUCAACGAAACCAAGUUCUUUCCAAACUACAUCCGACUCCAAGUCCUGUUCGAACGAGCUAAAGAAG